GAGGGGUAGAGAUCUACGGAUCUUGAGACCGGCGAACGGGUAAGUAACACGUAGGUAAUCUAGCCGCGCGGUUGGGGAUAGCCUGUAGGAAACACAGGGUAAUACCGAAUAGGGUCGCACUCCUGUAGGGGAGCGAGGAAAGAGGCUACGGCCUCGCCGUGCGAUGAGCCUGCGGCUGAUAAGCUUGUAGGUGGGGUAACGGCCUACCAAGGCGACGAUCAGUAGCCGGCCUGAGAGGGUAGAUCGGGCACACUAGGACUAGAGAUACGGCCCAGACUCCUAACGGGAGGCAGCAGCUAAAGAAUCUACCGGCAAUGGACGAAAGUCUAGACGGGAGCGACGCCGCGUGGGUGAAGAAGGCCGUGAGGUUGUAAAGCCCUUUUCUGCCUGAGGAAUAAGCACCUGAGGGAAUGCGGGUAGUGAUGACGGUAGGGCAGGAAUAAAGCCCCGGCUAAUUACGUGCCAGCAGCCGCGGUAACACGUAAUAGGGGCGAGCGUUGUACGGGAUAAUUGGGCGUAAAGGGCGCGUAGGC
This 533-nucleotide ribosomal RNA is filed under the name uncultured organism. RNAcentral's name for it is "bacterial SSU rRNA". It matches the Rfam family "Bacterial small subunit ribosomal RNA", at positions 64 to 576 of the family's 1533-position model. The record is from RNAcentral.